CGCGGGGUGGAGCAGCUCGGUAGCUCGCUGGGCUCAUAACCCAGAGGUCGCAGGUUCACACCCUGUCUCCGCUACGA
Molecule: transfer RNA, 77 nt
Filed under: Streptomyces antibioticus
Lineage: Bacteria; Bacillati; Actinomycetota; Actinomycetes; Kitasatosporales; Streptomycetaceae
Also listed under: 2 other names
Description: tRNA-Met
Rfam family: tRNA
About the family: Transfer RNA (tRNA) molecules are approximately 80 nucleotides in length.
Source: RNAcentral